UGGGGAAUAUUGGACAAUGGGGGGAACCCUGAUCCAGCCAUGCCGCGUGUGUGAAGAAGGUCUUCGGAUUGUAAAGCACUUUAAGUUGGGAGGAAGGGCAGUUACCUAAUACGUGAUUGUUUUGACGUUACCGACAGAAUAAGCACCGGCUAACUCUGUGCCAGCAGCCGCGGUAAUACAGAGGGUGCAAGCGUUAAUCGGAAUUACUGGGCGUAAAGCGCGCGUAGGUGGUUAGUUAAGUUGGAUGUGAAAUCCCCGGGCUCAACCUGGGAACUGCAUUCAAAACUGACUGACUAGAGUAUGGUAGAGGGUGGUGGAAUUUCCUGUGUAGCGGUGAAAUGCGUAGAUAUAGGAAGGAACACCAGUGGCGAAGGCGACCACCUGGACUGAUACUGACACUGAGGUGCGAAAGCGUGGGGAGCAAACAGGAUUAGAUACCCCUGUAGUCCCUGAGCGGGCUGGCAAGGCGCAU
RNAcentral lists this ribosomal RNA (472 nucleotides) under uncultured bacterium. Its description in RNAcentral is "bacterial SSU rRNA". It matches the Rfam family "Bacterial small subunit ribosomal RNA", at positions 355 to 825 of the family's 1533-position model. The record is from RNAcentral.